UUUUUUUUUUUAACUUUUUUUUUCUUUUCACGUCCACACCUGUGGCAUAGGGAAGUUCCCGAGCUAGGGGUUGAAUCAGAGAUGCAGCUGCAGGCCUACACCUCAGCCACAGAAACACCAGAUCUGAGCCACAUCUGCAACCUACACUUCAGCUUGCAGCAAUGCUGGACCCUUACCCAAUGAAUGAGGCCAGGGAUCAAACCCACAUCCUCAAGGAUACUAUGCUAGGUUCUUAACCCACUAAGCCACAAUGGGAACUCCUAGAACUACAUUUCUUAAUGCUUCUGUUUGAGGAUAAAAGUUGUCAUAAUCAAUAUCUGCACACAUAGACAUUUAUGUCUAGUAUGCACAGAAUUUUAUCUGACAAGCAUAUACUAGGUUGAGACAUACAAAUAAGGACAAUCACUACAGCAUGGCUUUGACAGUUGAAACAAAUUAAUGAAAGAAAUAACUAGAAUGUGCACUGAUAAGGGGCAGGCAAAACAGAUUAUAACUUAUCCAUACUACAUAGCUGGGACAAAGGAUAAAGUAGACUUAGGGAUGCAAUAUAUAAAGACUGCAAUGUUCACUGCAGCACUAAUUCACAAUAGCUAAGACAUGGAAACAAUCUAAAUGACCAUCAAAAGAUUAAUGAAUAAAGAAUAUGUGACAUAUACAUACUAUGUAAUACUAUUUAGCCAUAAAAAGAAUUAAAUAAUGUCAUUUGAAAACAUGGAUGGACCUGGAGAUUAUCAUACUGAGUUAAAUAAGCCAGACAGAGGAACACAAAUAUCCAAUGAUAUUCAUUACAUGUGGGAUAUAAAAAAGAUACAAAAAAGAAACUUAAAAACAAAACAGAAAUAGACCCACAGACAUAGAAAACAAACUUAUGGUUACCAAAGGGGAAAGGGAGGAGGGAUAAAUUAGGAGUGUGGGAUUAACAUACAUAUGCCGCUAUAUAUAAAAUAGAUAACCAACAAGGACCUACUGCAUAGCACAGGGAACUCUACUCAAUAUCUUAUAUUAAGCUGUAAGGGAAAAGAAUCUGAAAAUCACACACACAUAACUGAAUCACUUUGCUAUACACUUGAAACUAAAACCACAUUGUAAAUCAACUACACUUCAAUUUUUUAAAAAAAGACCCAUAAGAUACACUGUUAUCCUAUGAAAAAAAGUUAAUAAGCUAUCACUAUGAGUCUUUUUUAAAAAGGAAUGCUCUCUCUUCUUUCACUCUCCCCUGUCCCCUUACCUAUAUAACACUCAAUCCUUGGAGUAUUUCUAGAUGGAUAACAAGUAAUUCUAAUUUAUUGGGGGGGGUGGCUCUUUAAAGUUCAAAAUAUGCAGUAAAUUCUUGCAAUUCCAAAGUUUUCUGUCUAAAUAUUUAACCAGUUACAAUUUGUUCAGUAAAAGAAAAUCAAUGCCUUGUAAAUGAGUAGAACUUAAUUCAUAAAGUGGUGGACAUGCUGAGGGCAAAGAUGCUUCUGUCCCCUAAAUCCUGACAUGAUCAUUCUUUGGACUCGAGAACAAGGAAGAAUGAAGUUACAAAGGCAUUUGCCCUGGAUUCUUCUCCUUCAUUCUGAGGAGCUAAGGAAAUUCUCCAGGAUGUCAGAGAGACUUAUACUAACACUACUUUCUAGAGAAACCAAACAAAGCAGUUGCAGCCGUACCCUCCAAUGAAGCCAAGAGCUGCAAGAAUCCUAGGAACCAGCAGAUUUACAUCCGUGCUCUCCUGUGCUUCUCGAGAGUCUCUGUGUCUUCAAAACACAAAGUACUGAAUUCAGAAAAGUAUUUGUUUGGAAGAUAAAACUAAUGAGAUUUUUCCUAGUAAAGAUACUAGGAAAUAACUGUUUCAUCUUUUUCUUCUUUAAGAAGGCUUUUACAUGCUCAAACCAGCAUUAUCUAUUGGGGGGGUCAGGAGUUUGAGGUAGGAGGGAGAUUUACUAUUAUAGGGUUUGAUUUUUUUAUACUAUUUACUAUUACAUUUUUAUAUACUAUUUACUAUUAUGUUUACUAUUUACUAUUAUAUUUUUCUAUUAUUUACUGUAUAGGGUUUGAUUUUUUUAUAUUAUGACUACGGUUUACUAUUCCAAUUUUUUUAUUACUUUUUUAAAUACUAUGACUAUGGUUUACUUUUUCAUCUAAAAAUUUUGGUUCAUAUGAAAACAAGUAACAAAUGAAAACCUAACACUGACAAUGAAAACUCUGAUAAAGUUCAUCUAAGUUAUUCUCACUUUGAGGUCUUGCCCAUGUGUGGCAAUUUGGGCCUGAGACACUCUAAGGAAAAGAAGUUUUUUGGUUCUUUGUUUUUAUUUAUUUAUUUAUUUAAGAAUGUACAGGAGGAACGGUGGGGGGGGGGAACCUCUCUCCCGAAGUAAUCUCCUGAGGUGAAUGUCAGAAAAUUAUGUCUAGCACCCCAAGCUGUAUGUUCCCAAGAGGAAAAGUAAUUAAGAAAAGCUUGGGGGAAAGUCAUACAAAUCAUCAAGGAAAUUACCUCUGAAAUUGAGCCAAGGGAAACAGUUGUGUAAUGACCGGUGAAGGAUUUGACAAUUGUCUUCUAAGUAUCUGAAAGGAAUAAAUAUCCAACACUAAAAAAUUAAUAGGUGGUAAAGGAGAAACAUUAUAAUUCCUAAUAAACCCACUUUAGGUAAAACUUUAUUUCUUCUCCAAUAGAUGCAAAUUAAAUAUGAACUAAUUCCACACAGUAUUCAAAGACCCUGGACUUUAUGCAAAGGAACCAGAGAGAGGGAAGAAUACAGAGAAUACAGUCUCCUAUUCCAUAAAGAACCUGAUAGCAGCAGAGAUGGGUGAAAAGCUCCACUCUCCCCAGUUGCUGCUCAAUUGUUUAAUAAGCAGAUAAGUCCUACUAAGGAAUCUUCACCACAUAGGCUGAUGAUUAAUUCAAGCACUAUAUCAUCUUGUUGUGACAGUAAUAAAUGAGAUACAGUAAUAAUUAGCCACCAUGAGACCUUCCUCUUUCAGGGCUAUGAAAAGAGGCACAAGAUAAGAGAAGCUUACACUUCAGUGAGGACCUGCAGCUAAGGUGGCAUCCUAUGCUGAAUAUCCAGUCAAUUCAUAUUUCAUAAUAAAUCACCCAAGGAGGAAACUACUUCCUCCCCCACCCCAUACACAGAAACCACUGUAGUGCUAUUUAGUUUCAGGCAUCUCCUCUAGAUGGUUCUUUAAAAUGUCCAUUUUAUGAUCACUGAAGGUUCUGGAAAAUUGUUCCAUCUGUAUCCCCAAGCUUCAUUUACCAAUGAAAUCUACAAGAUAAACUCUCUUUACCACUAAGACUUAUCCAUUCAGAUUUCUUAACAGAUGAGCCAUUUUAAACUGGUGAAAAGUCCUACUUCACUUAGGAUGAUAAUCUCCCAGUCCAUCCACAUCCGUCUGCAAAUGGCAUUAUUUUGAUCUUAUUUUAUGGCUGACAAAUAUUCCACUGUAUAUAUGUACCACACCUUCUUUAUCCAUUCUUCUGUCAAUGGACACUUAGGUUGCUUCCAUGUCUUGGCUAUUGUGAAUAGCGCUGCAAUGAAUACUGGGGUGCACGUAUCUGUUCAAAUUAUGGUUUUCUCCAAGAGAUGCCCAGAUGUGAGAUCAAUGGAUGAUACGGAAGUUCAAUUUUUUUAUUUUAAAGGAACCUCCAUAAUGUUAUCCAAGGCGGUUGUAACAAUUUACAUUUCUACCAACAGUGUAGGUUAGACAGAGAAAGGCAUAUCAUAUGAUACCAUUUAUAUGUAGAAUCUAAUUUUAUAAAUGAUGCAAAUGAACUUAUUUACAAAUCAGAAACAGCCUCACAGAUUUCAAAAACAAACUUAUGCUUACCAAAGUGGAAGCAUGGAGGCGAUAAAUUAGGAGCUUGGUAUUCAUAUAUACACACUACUAUAUAUAAUAUAUAAAAUAGAUAACCAAUAAAGACCCACUUUCUAGCACAGGAAACACUACUCACUAUUUUUAAUAACCUACAAUGGAAAAUAAUCUGAAAAAGAAUACAUACAUAUAUAUGUAUAAUAAAUAUAUAUAUAUGAAAUACAUAUAUACACAUAUGGAAUACAACAUUGUAAAUCAGCUAUUCUUCAAAUUUUAAAAAUCAUUUAUUUUUUUUAANUUUUUUUUUU
RNAcentral lists this long non-coding RNA (4094 nucleotides) under Sus scrofa (pig). RNAcentral's name for it is "lncRNA (ENSSSCG00050026284.1)". The record is from RNAcentral. Lineage: Eukaryota; Metazoa; Chordata; Mammalia; Artiodactyla; Suidae.